CCUGACUCAGUUUCCGUUGAAGAAUCCACAAGCUUCCCAGUUGGUAACUUCUGCCUGUGGCUGUCAGAUCUCAUCCCACAGAAUCCAAGUGUUAGAAUGUUCCAUCGGGCAGGGGUGCAAAGGUCCUUUAGCUCCUGCAUGUCAGUGACGUGGCACCUGGUCUACCAUGUUCCAUUCUGAGUCCAAGACAGAUGUUGCCCGCGAACCACAGCACCCCCGACCACUGGAUGUGGCCCCAGAAUCCUGAGCAACACGUGAUCCCUUCAGCCAUGUGUUCUAGCAACCAGCGUCGGCACUGGAUCGGGAAUGAUUGCUAUUCUUGGACAAGUCCAGUCUGUUAUCCUGGAGAUGGGGAAACUGAGAGCUGGGGUGUAUAAUUUGCCGAAUGGAUGCAAGGUCAUCUAGGGCUCUGGUUUGAGACGUCUUCACUCAGGGAUGCAGACCGAUGGAGACUUCACCAUCUAUGGUGUCACUGGUGGCUACAGCAGGGCAAGAGGCACAUGCCAAUUCAUGCACCCGCCAUGCCAGGAGUGCCUGCAGGAGUGAAAUGGGUCACUACUAUUUGCAUUUCAUCGCCCCAAGCAACGCUGAAUUUCAAGGGACUAUGGAAGUAUAAUUCAACACGGUUUUAGAAUGAGGACUAGGAAAAUCUGAAGAACAGUGCUAAUGAUAUACGGCUUAACAUGGGGAAGGAGAGCAAGGACCACAUCACGGUAGGCUUUGAGUGCCAUGGUCAGGCACUUGGAAUGCUUCCUGUAGGCAAUGAGGAGCUUUGGGUGGGUGGAUGAGGUAUGAGCCUGCAAAGAAGGCAGCAGAAGAGAGGAAAGUGAGGUUUAAACAUGAGAAGGGUGCCAGAGCCAAGGGAAGAAGAAGGAAAUACGAAACAUCAAACAGAGAGGGAAGCCGGAGAAAUGGGCUGGGGAAGCACUGGACAGUGAGUGGAAGUCAGGCCCUCCUGCCUCCAACCCUCCCUUUCACUGGAAAGAGAGAGACUGGAGAGAAAGGGAUGGAGGGAGGAGGUGGGGAAGACAGAGCCCAGACAGACAUUUUGAGGGGUUGCUUAGACUGGAAAAAUCAAGACUUCAGUGGAGCUUGGGGACCAACCACAAAUAUCUAAAAGCUUUUCGCGAAAACAAGGGACUAGACUUAUUUGAUGGCAAAUGUUCAGAGUAGCAUAGGGACAAAACCUGGGAAUUAUAGGGAGGCAGAUUUAACUUUUAUUUGAUAACAACUUCUGUUAUCAACUUAAGCUUGUUGUUUGAACUAUGUACAAGCACCUUGCUGGGGUGAAGAGGCGUGUAAUGUUUUGAAAUGUUAAUUUCCUUCCUGUUCUCGUGGCUGAAGGAAAGAAUGAAUGAAUAUUUAAUACUGCA
Molecule: non-coding RNA, 1373 nt
Organism: Macaca mulatta (Rhesus monkey)
Lineage: Eukaryota; Metazoa; Chordata; Mammalia; Primates; Cercopithecidae
Source: RefSeq, a predicted model, not a curated record